UCAUAUGCUUGUCUCAAAGAUUAAGCCAUGCAUGUCUAAGUACGUGCCUAAGAAAGGUGAAACCGCGAAUGGCUCAUUAAAUCAGUUAUGGUUCCUUAGAUCGUACCUUACUACUUGGAUAACUGUGGUAAUUCUAGAGCUAAUACAUGCAGCAGAGCUCCGACCUUCGGGGACGAGCGCUUUUAUUAGACCAAGACCAAUCGGACUUCGGUCCGAAGCUCAUGGUGACUCUGGAUAACUUUGGGCUGAUCGCACGGUCUCGUACCGGCGACGCAUCUUUCAAGUGUCUGCCUUAUCAACUUUCGAUGGUAGGUUAUGCGCCUACCAUGGUCGUAACGGGUAACGGGGAAUCAGGGUUCGAUUCCGGAGAGGGAGCCAGCAGCCGCGGUAAUUCCAGCUCCAAUAGCGUAUAUUAAAGUUGUUGCGGUUAAAAAGCUCGUAGUUGGAUCUCAGUUCCAGACGGGUGGUCCACCCCUGGUGGUUACUGCCUGGCCUGAACAAAUCCAGCCGGUUUUCCUUGAUGCUCUUCACCGAGUGUCUUGGGUGACCGGCACGUUUACUUUGAAAAAAUUAGAGUGCUCAAAGCAGGCGUGACGCCUGAAUAAUGGUGCAUGGAAUAAUGGAAUAGGACCUCGGUUCUAUUUUGUUGGUUUUCGGAACACGAGGUAAUGAUUAAGAGGGACAGACGGGGGCAUUCGUAUUGCGACGCUAGAGGUGAAAUUCUUGGACCGUCGCAAGACGAACUACU
This 748-nucleotide ribosomal RNA is filed under the name Notozomus sp. WAM T122042. RNAcentral's name for it is "SSU rRNA". It matches the Rfam family "Eukaryotic small subunit ribosomal RNA", at positions 24 to 944 of the family's 1831-position model. Lineage: Eukaryota; Metazoa; Arthropoda; Arachnida; Schizomida; Hubbardiidae. The record is from RNAcentral.